This is a long non-coding RNA of Cyprinus carpio (common carp), 1363 nucleotides long. Lineage: Eukaryota; Metazoa; Chordata; Actinopteri; Cypriniformes; Cyprinidae. The record is from Ensembl.
CAGUAAAAUCUGUGACUGUAGCGAAAUAUUGUGUGGUCAGUAACAAUGGACGUAAGAAAAUGCUUCUUCCAAGGUUACAUCUUUUCAAAACAUCAAACAUGAAAUUAAUUUAAAAUUUAAAGUAAAAUAUUGCUCAAAAUGAAGACAAAGAGUCUUGGAUACUUUCUGGCAGUACAGCUUUGUAAAAUGUGUUCAUAUGUUGAUUAAUAGGAACUUCAUACAUCACGAAAAAUGACCUCAAGACUAGAUGGUAAAAAAAGAAGAAGAAAAAAAGUGUCUAAGAAAAGGGAAGAUAGGUCUGAGAAAAUGUCUAGCCAAGUGUUUUUUUUUUUUUUUCUCUCUCUCUCUAGCACAGCGGUUCUCAAUUCCAGUCCUCACGCCCCCCUGCUCUGCACAUUUUGUAUGUUUCUCUUAUGGCUUCAGGCGUUUGUUCUUUUCGAAUGUAAGUGCCCUGCUAAGUGGACAUCACAAGAUAUUCUGCCAUCAUCCAGUUCGAAGCCAACGUAUAUGUUCCAUUCAAAGUGCAUUGAAGUGUGCGAGAAGUGAAUUUAAAUUGUAUUUAUUUACCGAGGUAUAUGACACUUGUCCGUGUGUGAAGACGUUGCACAGCGCAAAUCCAUGAAUGAAUGUUCCGAAGUGAAGUUUUCCACCUGCUCUGGCAAUGAAUGCUGUGUAGGGACCAUGUCAAUGGGAACACAGUUCAUGCAUGGAGCGCACUUCUAACGAGCUGAUUAUCUGAAUUAGGUGUGUUAACAAAGAAGAGAGACAUACAAAAUAUGCAGAACUGGGGGGCGCGAGGACUGGAAUUGAGAACCGCUGCUCUAGCAGAUGCCGAUCAGUCUUGUAUCUUAUGCAGUGAAAUUCAGAUAUUUGUGAGUGUCCAAAUAUUGUUGGGGCCACUUUUUAAAAAUGAUAUAAUGUAGGCCUACCAAUGUUUCUGUAAAUUAUAGCAAGAUCACAGCAGCCCAGCAUCAGUAUGUAUGGAGGUGAGAAAAUGGGUGACGCCAUCACAGUAGAAUGUUCAACUUUCCACACGUGUCCAUACAGCAAACCAACAAUCACUCUGAACGGGAUAGCAGGAUCUGACAAAAUCAAGGAUGAAUCUAUUAAAGAUGGCCUGUUGAAAAUCACUCUGACACGCACAGGUGUCGUAAGGGCAGAAAGCUUGACUAUUACGUGUUCAGUAACACAUUAUGGUGGUAUAAAAGCGACAGCUACAGAGGUCAAAAGGUCAAAAUGUGUUCAUCAUAAAAUAACAAUUGAGCCUGAACUGGCAGAUGUCACUGAGGGUGUCGCAAAGAGCUUCACUUGUAACGUCUACCAUUCCUGCCAGAACGAGAAUCCAACCAUCACAUGGAACUAA